Molecule: long non-coding RNA, 877 nt
Organism: Arachis stenosperma
Lineage: Eukaryota; Viridiplantae; Streptophyta; Magnoliopsida; Fabales; Fabaceae
Exons: 4
Source: RefSeq, a predicted model, not a curated record
CGGUGCGUCACUCUUUCUUCUUCGGUGCCUCACUCUUUCGUAAAUCUCAAAUUCUCAAUCCUCACUCUUUCUUCCUUAUGGAUAUCGAUAACCUUUUACUGCUCGCCAAUGUCGUACAGCAAGUGCAAAUGUAACAGGCUGCUGGCGUAGCUGCUGACGUAGCCGACCCCGGAGAAGUCAUCGAUCCUGCCGGUGACAAUGAGAACGCUGAAGCUGCCGCUGCCCAUGGUGCCGCUGUCGGCAUUCAAGCCAUUGGUGUCGUCCCCGCUUCCGACGCCGUUGCCGGCCCCGGCCCCGUCGUCCCCGCCCCCGCUGGGGCCGUCGACGAAGGUGGCGACGGAGAGGACGAAGUCGCCGACGAUAACGGGGAGGACGAAGGCGCCGACGGGGACGAUGAGGGCGGCGAAGACGGAGACGAUGAAGGAGACAUGGAUGACAAUGAUGGAGACGGCGACGGCGCAGGUGGAGGCGGCGCCGCAGGCGGAGGCGGUGCCCCGGGAGGUGGCGCCGGUGGUGAUGGGGGUGACCAGAGUGAAGUCAUUCAAGCAAGCUCGCCGUCUUCCUCCUCCUCCUCCGUUAAUCAACUUUUCGAUGGUCUGGCGAGGUUGGAUUCAUGUAUCUCAAGUGUUGGCCAGACAGCUGUGAUGACUAGGGAUCAUCUCCAGGAUUAGGCUGCAUGAGUUGGAAGUCCUGCCUGUAUUUUUUGCCAUCACUUGAAGCAGAACUGGACUAUUUCUUCUUUUUGAACUACGUUGUUCCCUUUUUUUUUUUCUGUUUGUUGCAGUAGUAUGUUCGGAAGAAUGGCCAAUGUCUUUCUUGUUGUUCAAGAGGCUUGCAAAUUUGUUUGAGGGUACACUUAGCAUUCGCAAAGGUGGAC